GGCGAAAUGGCCGAGUGGUCUAAGGCGUCAGACUCAAGUUUUCUAUAACUUAUGCAUUAAAUGCAAGUCUUUGGGCUUUCUGAUCUCGUUAUCGAGGCGUGGGUUCGAAUCCCACUUUCGUCA
RNAcentral lists this transfer RNA (123 nucleotides) under Strongyloides ratti. It matches the Rfam family "tRNA". From Rfam's summary of the family: Transfer RNA (tRNA) molecules are approximately 80 nucleotides in length. The record is from Rfam by way of RNAcentral. Lineage: Eukaryota; Metazoa; Nematoda; Chromadorea; Rhabditida; Strongyloididae.